GGAAGAGCCAAGACCAAACUCAAAUAUCUGACUAUUUCUGGCUUUGGAGGCUGAUUGAGUGCAGAGGGAUCAGAUGGGGCACCAGGACCAAUAGGACCAGCCGGAAACCCAGGAGACAUGGUAAGCUCUGAGCUCUGUGCUUGACUGCUGGCUUGACCUGGGUUUAGGUCUGUGAAGUAAAACU
Molecule: long non-coding RNA, 184 nt
Filed under: Junco hyemalis (dark-eyed junco)
Lineage: Eukaryota; Metazoa; Chordata; Aves; Passeriformes; Passerellidae
Description: lncRNA (ENSJHYG00000000893.1)
Source: RNAcentral